AGCUCCAAUAGCGUAUAUUAAAGUUGUUGCAGUUAAAAAGCUCGUAGUUGGAUUUCUGGCUCGCUGCGCCUGGCCCGCCCGCGUUAGCGGUGUGAGUGCCGGUUUUGCGCGGUAGCCAUCCUUCUGGAGAACGGGCCUGCCCUUCACUGGGUGGGUCCGCGACCCAGAUCGUUUACUUUGAAAAAAUUAGAGUGUUUAAAGCAGGCAAUUGCUCUGAAUACAUUAGCAUGGAAUAAUGACAUAGGACUUUGGUCCUAUUUUGUUGGUUUCUAGGACUAAAGUAAUGAUUGAUAGGGAUAGUUGGGGGUGCUAGUAUUGAGCGGCCAGAGGUGAAAUUCUUGGAUUCGCUCAAGACUAACUUAUGCGAAAGCAUUCACCAAGGAUGUCUUCUUUAAUCAAG
RNAcentral lists this ribosomal RNA (400 nucleotides) under phytoplankton environmental sample. Its description in RNAcentral is "partial small subunit ribosomal RNA". It matches the Rfam family "Eukaryotic small subunit ribosomal RNA", at positions 587 to 981 of the family's 1831-position model. The record is from RNAcentral.